UUUUCUAUCAAAGUCUUUUCAAGAUUAAGCCAUGCAUGUCUAAGUAUAAGCAAUUUAUACAGUGAACUGCGAAUGGCUCAUUAAAUCAGUUAUCGUUUAUCUGAUAGUACCUUACUACUUGGAUAACCGUGGUAAUUCUAGAGCUAAUACAUGCUUAAAAUCCCGACUGUUUGGAAGGGAUGUAUUUAUUAGAUAAAAAAUCAAUGCCUUCGGGCUCUUUGAUGAUUCAUAAUAACUUUUCGAAUCGCAUGGCCUUGUGCUGGCGAUGGUUCAUUCAAAUUUCUGCCCUAUCAACUUUCGAUGGUAGGAUAGUGGCCUACCAUGGUUUCAACGGGUAACGGGGAAUAAGGGUUCGAUUCCGGAGAGGGAGCCUGAGAAACGGCUACCACAUCCAAGGAAGGCAGCAGGCGCGCAAAUUACCCAAUCCCGACACGGGGAGGUAGUGACAAUAAAUAACGAUACAGGGCCCUUUUGGGUCUUGUAAUUGGAAUGAGUACAAUGUAAAUACCUUAACGAGGAACAAUUGGAGGGCAAGUCUGGUGCCAGCAGCCGCGGUAAUUCCAGCUCCAAAAGCGUAUAUUAAAGUUGUUGCAGUUAAAAAGCUCGUAGUUGAACCUUGGGCUUGGCUGGCCGGUCCAUCUUUUUGAUGCGUACUGGACCCAGCCGAGCCUUUCCUUCUGGGUAGCCAUUUAUGGCGAACCAGGACUUUUACUUUGAAAAAAUUAGAGUGUUCAAAGCAGGCCUUUGCUCGAAUAUAUUAGCAUGGAAUAAUAGAAUAGGACGUUAUGGUUCUAUUUUGUUGGUUUCUAGGACCAUCGUAAUGAUUAAUAGGGACGGUCGGGGGUAUCAGUAUUCAGUUGUCAGAGGUGAAAUUCUUGGAUUUACUGAAGACUAACUACUGCGAAAGCAUUUACCAAGGACGUUUUCAUUAAUCAAGAACGAAAGUUAGGGGAUCGAAGAUGAUCAGAUACCGUCGUAGUCUUAACCAUAAACUAUGCCGACUAGGGAUCGGUUGUUGUUCUUUUAUUGACGCAAUCGGCACCUUACGAGAAAUCAAAGUCUUUGG
Molecule: ribosomal RNA, 1066 nt
Filed under: Candida albicans
Lineage: Eukaryota; Fungi; Ascomycota; Pichiomycetes; Serinales; Debaryomycetaceae
Description: SSU rRNA
Rfam family: Eukaryotic small subunit ribosomal RNA
Source: RNAcentral